GCGUAACGGGACUUCCACACCGAUCAUGCGGCACCGGCACGCGCGCGGACCUACCUGCUUCAGGCGGUUGUGGAUCAUGGUUUGGAAGACCUGAGCCACCACCAAGGCGAUGCCCACGAUGAGGAGAGCGGGUUUGGCUCCAGCGCUGCAAUGUGAGGAUCUGUAACCUGGAGCAGGAAGGAGGAGCAACAAGGGAGCGUCCAGAAACCAGGCAGGAGGGCAGGCCGCUGUGCACGCUCUGAAGGUGUGAUGUUUGAUGGUGGCUCUGACUCAGUCAGAUGUUUGGUGCGCUCCUACGUCAUUUCUGUCAUCUGAUCAGAAAUCUGAAAAGAGAGUGAACAAUUGAAAAUGGAGAUCCUCCGUUCCUGAAACCAGAACAGUUGUAAUCCUGAUAAAGAACGAGGGAGCGGCUCAGAGGAAAUGAAGCAGCAGAUUGAUCAAAGUGCAGACUCCAGAUUUAUGAGAGGGAGUUCUCCUGCAGGGAUCAGAUAUCCUCCAGCUUCCAGAGGCAGAGCGGGGUUUACCCCGACGUCACCGACCCCCCCCAUGAAUGAGCUGCAGAUCCACUCAGUCAUCCUCCUGUUGUAAACAAGCGAACAUGUGAUCUGGUCAGCCUGACGCUCACAGCGACGUGGACGAGAAACACAACUCCUGUCUGAACGGAUCUUCGUAAAGGGUUGUUGGGAGUCUCCAGAUGAAACACUCGAGUCUGAAACCGUCUUCAGAUGGUUUUUAGGUGCAGCAUCUCCAUAUUGUUCUGAUCUGGGAGCACAUCAGUGUCUUGGAGACAUUAAAGUGAGCCAACCUUGAAUUAAGUCACAUGAUUGCAACCAGCCAAUCCCGCGUCAGCUGGAAGGAAGAAAAUUUCCCGUUGAGUCACUGUGUUAAUUGUAAGUGUUGAGCAAACAGGACUGCAGGGAUUUCUAUUUUUGAGAAUGACUUCUGUUUUUGUGGAACUCUCCUCCAGUUUGGAGUGAUGCAUCACAAAAACACAAAACCUCAUCGAGGAUCUUUGUCUAGUUUCUGUUAAUAUUUGAUUACAUGUUAAAUAUGACGAAAACUUGUGAGUACCUUUUCAGUAAAAUGUAAUGAAAAUAUAUAAUUCUAA
Long non-coding RNA from Oryzias melastigma (Indian medaka), 1108 nucleotides. RefSeq lists it as uncharacterized. NCBI's taxonomy places the organism in Eukaryota, Metazoa, Chordata, Actinopteri, Beloniformes, Adrianichthyidae. The transcript is spliced from 4 exons. The record is from RefSeq and is a predicted model, not a curated record.